GGUACCGUCAAGGCCGAAGGGUAUUAACCUUCAAGCUUUUCUUUCCCGAUAAAAGUGCUUUACAACCCGCAGGCCUUCUUCACACACGCGGCAUUGCUGGAUCAGGCUUGCGCCCAUUGUCCAAUAUUCCCCA
RNAcentral lists this ribosomal RNA (133 nucleotides) under uncultured bacterium. RNAcentral's name for it is "partial 16S ribosomal RNA". The record is from RNAcentral.